GACGAACGCUGGCGGCGUGCUUAACACAUGCAAGUCGAGCGGUAAGGCCUCUUCGGGGGUACACGAGCGGCGAACGGGUGAGUAACACGUGGGUGACCUGCCCUUCACUCUGGGAUAAGCCUGGGAAACUGGGUCUAAUACCGGAUAUUCACUACUUGUUGCAUGGUGGGUGGUGGAAAGUCCUGGGUUUAGUUGCCUGGGUUCGGUGGGGGAUGGACCCGCGGCCUAUCAGCUUGUUGGUGGGGUGAUGGCCUACCAAGGCGACGACGGGUAGCCGGCCUGAGAGGGCGACCGGCCACACUGGGACUGAGACACGGCCCAGACUCCUACGGGAGGCAGCAGUGGGGAAUAUUGCGCAAUGGGCGGAAGCCUGACGCAGCGACGCCGCGUGGGGAUGACGGCCU
This 404-nucleotide ribosomal RNA is filed under the name uncultured bacterium. RNAcentral describes it as "bacterial SSU rRNA". It matches the Rfam family "Bacterial small subunit ribosomal RNA", at positions 28 to 417 of the family's 1533-position model. The record is from RNAcentral.